This 1109-nucleotide ribosomal RNA is filed under the name uncultured cyanobacterium. RNAcentral describes it as "bacterial SSU rRNA". It matches the Rfam family "Bacterial small subunit ribosomal RNA", at positions 389 to 1514 of the family's 1533-position model. The record is from RNAcentral. Lineage: Bacteria; Bacillati; Cyanobacteriota.
GAGCACGCCGCGUGAGGGAUGAAGGCCUCUGGGCUGUAAACCUCUUUUCUCAAGGAAGAAGACCUGACGGUACUUGAGGAAUAAGCCACGGCUAAUUCCGUGCCAGCAGCCGCGGUAAUACGGGAGUGGCAAGCGUUAUCCGGAAUUAUUGGGCGUAAAGCGUCCGCAGGCGGCCUUGUAAGUCUGUCGUCAAAGCGUGGAGCUUAACUCCAUUUCGGCGAUGGAAACUACAAGGCUGGAGUGUGGUAGGGGCAGAGGGAAUUCCCGGUGUAGCGGUGAAAUGCGUAGAUAUCGGGAAGAACACCAGUGGCGAAGGCGCUCUGCUGGGCCAUAACUGACGCUCAUGGACGAAAGCCAGGGGAGCGAAAGGGAUUAGAUACCCCUGUAGUCCUGGCCGUAAACGAUGAACACUAGGUGUCGGGGGAAUCGACCCCCUCGGUGUCGUAGCCAACGCGUUAAGUGUUCCGCCUGGGGAGUACGCACGCAAGUGUGAAACUCAAAGGAAUUGACGGGGGCCCGCACAAGCGGUGGAGUAUGUGGUUUAAUUCGAUGCAACGCGAAGAACCUUACCAGGGUUUGACAUCCUGCGAACCCCUUGGAAACGAGGGGGUGCCUUCGGGAGCGCAGAGACAGGUGGUGCAUGGCUGUCGUCAGCUCGUGUCGUGAGAUGUUGGGUUAAGUCCCGCAACGAGCGCAACCCACGUCUUUAGUUGCCAGCAUUCAGUUGGGCACUCUAGAGAGACCGCCGGUGAUAAACCGGAGGAAGGUGUGGAUGACGUCAAGUCAUCAUGCCCCUUACAUCCUGGGCUACACACGUACUACAAUGCUACGGACAAAGGGCAGCAAGCUCGCGAGAGUUAGCAAAUCCCAUAAACCGUGGCUCAGUUCAGAUCGUAGGCUGCAACUCGCCUACGUGAAGGAGGAAUCGCUAGUAAUCGCAGGUCAGCAUACUGCGGUGAAUACGUUCCCGGGCCUUGUACACACCGCCCGUCACACCAUGGAAGUUGGCCACGCCCGAAGUCGUUACUCCAACCCUUGUGGAGGAGGACGCCGAAGGUGGGGCUGAUGACUGGGGUGAAGUCGCAACAAGGUAGCCGUACCGGAAGGUG